UAGGGAAUCUUCGGCAAUGGACGAAAGUCUGACCGAGCAACGCCGCGUGCGUGAAGAAGGUUUUCGGAUCGUAAAACUCUGUUGUUAGAGAAGAACAAGGACGUUAGUAACUGAACGUCCCCUGACGGUAUCUAACCAGAAAGCCACGGCUAACUACGUGCCAGCAGCCGCGGUAAUACGUAGGUGGCAAGCGUUGUCCGGAUUUAUUGGGCGUAAAGCGAGCGCAGGCGGUUUCUUAAGUCUGAUGUGAAAGCCCCCGGCUCAACCGGGGAGGGUCAUUGGAAACUGGGAGACUUGAGUGCAGAAGAGGAGAGUGGAAUUCCAUGUGUAGCAGUGACAUGCGUAGAUAUAUGGAGGAACACCAGAGGCGAAGGCGGCUCUCUGGUCUGUAACUGACGCUGAGGCUAGAAAGCGUGGGGAGCAAACAGG
RNAcentral lists this ribosomal RNA (429 nucleotides) under Gemmatimonadota bacterium. Its description in RNAcentral is "Gemmatimonadetes bacterium partial 16S ribosomal RNA". It matches the Rfam family "Bacterial small subunit ribosomal RNA", at positions 355 to 776 of the family's 1533-position model. The record is from RNAcentral. Lineage: Bacteria; Pseudomonadati; Gemmatimonadota.